Molecule: ribosomal RNA, 261 nt
Filed under: uncultured bacterium
Lineage: Bacteria
Description: partial 16S ribosomal RNA
Rfam family: Bacterial small subunit ribosomal RNA
Source: RNAcentral
GUCCACGCCGUAAACGUUGGGCGCUAGGUGUGGGGACCUUCCACGGUUUCCGCGCCGCAGCUAACGCAUUAAGCGCCCCGCCUGGGGAGUACGGCCGCAAGGCUAAAACUCAAAGGAAUUGACGGGGGCCCGCACAAGCGGCGGAGCAUGUUGCUUAAUUCGACGCAACGCGAAGAACCUUACCAAGGCUUGACAUCGCCGGAAAACUCGCAGAGAUGCGGGGUCCUUUUGGGCCGGUGACAGGUGGUGCAUGGCUGUCGU